CUCGCACUUGUCUUCUAUUCUUAGGUAUAGAUAGCUGACACACUGCUUCUUUUCUUUCAGGUCCCAUUAUUCUUUGACCUUCGGAAAUAUGGAAUCCUAAAUAUUUGACAGUUGACUGGCACAAUUGCGCUUCCUUGAUACCUUGUAUCCUGCUCUCCAUAGAAUGUGAAGCAAAUCAUAAGUUGCUUGUUGGCAUAUCUCUUCAGUAACAGCCGC
Non-coding RNA from Pelobates cultripes (western spadefoot toad), 216 nucleotides. The record is from the annotation of a GenBank genome assembly. Lineage: Eukaryota; Metazoa; Chordata; Amphibia; Anura; Pelobatidae.